RNAcentral lists this ribosomal RNA (336 nucleotides) under uncultured bacterium. RNAcentral describes it as "bacterial SSU rRNA". It matches the Rfam family "Bacterial small subunit ribosomal RNA", at positions 18 to 344 of the family's 1533-position model. The record is from RNAcentral.
CAUGGCUCAGGACGAACGCUGGCGGCGUGCCUAAUACAUGCAAGUAGAACGCUGAAGAGAGGAGCUUGCUCUUCUUGGAUGAGUUGCGAACGGGUGAGUAACGCGUAGGUAACCUGUCUGGUAGCGGGGGAUAACUAUUGGAAACGAUAGAUAAUACCGCAUGACAUUGAUUAUCGACUGAUAAUUGAUUGAAAGGUGCAAUUGCAGCACUACCAGAUGGACCUGCGUUGUAUUAGCUAGUUGGUGAGGUAACGGCUCACCAAGGCGACGAUACAUAGCCGACCUGAGAGGGUGAUCAGCCACACUGGGACUGAGACACGGCCCAGACUCCUACGG